Molecule: unclassified non-coding RNA, 402 nt
Filed under: plant metagenome
Description: partial contains 5.8S ribosomal RNA, internal transcribed spacer 2, and large subunit ribosomal RNA
Rfam family: Bacterial small subunit ribosomal RNA
Source: RNAcentral
GGAAUAUUGCACAAUGGGCGAAAGCCUGAUGCAGCGACGCCGCGUGAGUGAAGAAGUAUUUCGGUAUGUAAAGCUCUAUCAGCAGGGAAGAAAAUGACGGUACCUGACUAAGAAGCCCCGGCUAACUACGUGCCAGCAGCCGCGGUAAUACGUAGGGGGCAAGCGUUAUCCGGAUUUACUGGGUGUAAAGGGAGCGUAGACGGUAAAGCAAGUCUGAAGUGAAAGCCCGCGGCUCAACUGCGGGACUGCUUUGGAAACUGUUUAACUGGAGUGUCGGAGAGGUAAGUGGAAUUCCUAGUGUAGCGGUGAAAUGCGUAGAUAUUAGGAGGAACACCAGUGGCGAAGGCGACUUACUGGACGAUAACUGACGUUGAGGCUCGAAAGCGUGGGGAGCAAACAGGA